CCUACGGGGGGCUGCAGUGGGGAAUUUUGGACAAUGGGGGCAACCCUGAUCCAGCCAUGCCGCGUGAGUGAAGAAGGCCUUCGGGUUGUAAAGCUCUUUCGGCCGGGAAGAAAUCGCUCAAGCUAAUACCUUGGGUGGAUGACGGUACCGGAAGAAGAAGCACCGGCUAACUACGUGCCAGCAGCCGCGGUAAUACGUAGGGUGCGAGCGGUAAGCGGAAUUACUGGGCGUAAAGCGUGCGCAGGGGUCGUACAUCCCCGGGCUUAACCUGGCAACUGCGUUUGUGACUGUGGGGCGCGAGUGCGGCAGAGGGGGGUGGAAUUCCACGUGUAGCAGUGAAAUGCGUAGAGAUGUGGAGGAACACCGAUGGCGAAGGCAGCCCCCUGGGUCGACACUGACGCUCAUGCACGAAAGCGUGGGGAGCAAACAGGAUUAGAUACCCUAGUAGUC
RNAcentral lists this ribosomal RNA (450 nucleotides) under uncultured bacterium. RNAcentral's name for it is "partial 16S ribosomal RNA". It matches the Rfam family "Bacterial small subunit ribosomal RNA", at positions 338 to 795 of the family's 1533-position model. The record is from RNAcentral.